Molecule: ribosomal RNA, 156 nt
Filed under: Babesia bovis
Lineage: Eukaryota; Apicomplexa; Aconoidasida; Piroplasmida; Babesiidae
Description: partial small subunit ribosomal RNA
Rfam family: Eukaryotic small subunit ribosomal RNA
Source: RNAcentral
UUUGCGAUGGACCAUUCAAGUUUCUGCCCCAUCAGCUCGACGGUAGGGUAUUGGCCUACCGAGGCAGCAACGGGUAACGGGGAAUUAGGGUUCGAUUCCGGAGAGGGAGCCUGAGAAACGGCUACCACAUCUAAGGAAGGCAGCAGGCGCGCAAAU